Molecule: long non-coding RNA, 1038 nt
Organism: Perognathus longimembris pacificus (Pacific pocket mouse)
Lineage: Eukaryota; Metazoa; Chordata; Mammalia; Rodentia; Heteromyidae
Exons: 4
Source: RefSeq, a predicted model, not a curated record
GUGAUCCUCAGCAGAAUAGGAAACCCAGUAAUACUACAUUUUUACUGAACAAAUUAAGACUUUGACAACCUUUCUUCCCCCACCCCCCCCCCUCCUUGUUUUCUUUCUUUUGGGAAACACUUGGGUACUUUGUGUUAGGUACUGCAGUCAGCUAGAGAUCCAGAAAGCAGCUGUCAUUGCUGCACAGAAGCCCAUAAUCUCAGAAGAAGCCAGGGUGUGUCCAUGAAGGUGGGCAGGAAGCUCCACUCAAGAGAGCUGCAUGGUACAGUACUGCAAAACCAAAAAUCACUGGUAGGAGAUCCACGUGGAAAGAUGUAGGGCAUGGGGAGGUCGAAUGUGGGACGAUUUCUCAGUGUGUAAGGAGCUGGACAAAUGUCUAUAUACAGGCUCACUGAGGAAGGGCAGAUGGCUUGGGCUAGAGGACUCUGGAGAGUUGGGGCUCGCCCAGUUGGGAGAACCCCACAGGUUAUUUAUAGAGUUCAGAUGAGCUUAGUAGUUUUGAAGGGCUUUGAAAGGGCAGAGGGGUUAUCUUUGUUGAAUGUUAUGCUUGUUGUAGGUGGAAACUGGACUGGUAUCAGACAAUGCAGAAAUAGGGAAAGUGAGCCUCUAUUAAAGGUUUCUGAGAGAUGUGUAGAUACCUCACGGAAAGUGGUGUGAUGGAGAUAAGUAAAAACACUGCAUUUCAGAUGAAUUUUGAGUCAGAAUUGAUAGGAUGUGCGUUGCAAUGGAAUGUUAGAAGCUGGAAUGGUGGUAAAGGUGACGUUAUUGGUAUCUCCAUUCCAUAUGUUGGGACAGAAAGGAGUAUUUCUCUACAAUUGGCUAUUUCUGUCAUAUUAGUAGUGACGUUCCUACACUAAGGGCACAUAUUUUCCCAGGGUCCUUUAAAGACCACUGAAAAGCCUGCAGUGGUAUGAACAUUGUUGUGGUCUUUUCAAGCAGAAAUACCAUUUCUAAGCAACUUCUAGAAGGGACUAAGCAGAGCUGAGCUGGCUUCCAGAAAAUCUUUGAGCAAAGAUAAUUAUGAGAAUUGAUUCUUGC